AAAUGCUCCGGCGCCAAAGGAUGGAUCUGCGGCAGAUUAGGUAGUUGGCGGGGUAAAUGCCCACCAAGCCAGUAAUCUGUACGGGUUGUGAGAGCAAGAGCCCGGAGAUGGAACCUGAGACAAGGUUCCAGGCCCUACGGGGCGCACGAGGCGCGAAACCUCCGCAAUGCGAGCAAUCGCGACGGGGGAAACCCAAGUGCCACUCUUAACGGGGUGGCUUUUCUGAAGUGUAAAAAGCUUCAGGAAUAAG
RNAcentral lists this ribosomal RNA (250 nucleotides) under uncultured Methanobacterium sp. RNAcentral describes it as "partial 16S ribosomal RNA". It matches the Rfam family "Archaeal small subunit ribosomal RNA", at positions 189 to 439 of the family's 1478-position model. The record is from RNAcentral. Lineage: Archaea; Methanobacteriati; Methanobacteriota; Methanobacteria; Methanobacteriales; Methanobacteriaceae.